Molecule: ribosomal RNA, 423 nt
Filed under: uncultured bacterium
Lineage: Bacteria
Description: bacterial SSU rRNA
Rfam family: Bacterial small subunit ribosomal RNA
Source: RNAcentral
AAGACCUUGCGUUAAUGGAGCGGCCGAUGUCUGAUUAGCUAGUUGGUGGGGUAAUGGCCUACCAAAGCUUCGAUCAGUAGCUGGUCUGAGAGGACGGCCAGCCACACUGGGACUGAGACACGGCCCAGACUCCUACGGGAGGCAGCAGUGGGGAAUUUUGGACAAUGGGCGCAAGCCUGAUCCAGCCAUGCCGCGUGAGUGAAGAAGGCCUUCGGGUUGUAAAGCUCUUUCAGCCGGGAAGAAAAGGCUGCGACUAAUAAUCGUAGUUCAUGACGGUACCGGAAGAAGAAGCACCGGCUAACUACGUGCCAGCAGCCGCGGUAAUACGUAGGGUGCGAGCGUUAAUCGGAAUUACUGGGCGUAAAGGGUGCGCAGGCGGUCUUGUAAGUCAGAUGUGAAAUCCCCGGGCUUAACCUGGGAACU